GAUGAAGAACGCAGCGAAAUGCGAUAAGUAAUGUGAAUUGCAGAAUUCAGUGAAUCAUCGAAUCUUUGAACGCACAUUGCGCCCCCUGGUAUUCCGGGGGGCAUGCCUGUCCGAGCGUCAUUACAACCCUCAAGCUCAGCUUGGUGUUGGGCCCCGCCGCCCCGGCGGGCCCUAAAGUCAGUGGCGGUGCCGUCCGGCUCCGAGCGUAGUAAUUCUUCUCGCUCUGGAGGUCCGGUCGUGUGCUCGCCAGCAACCCCCAAUUUUUUUCAGGUUGACCUCGGAUCAGGUAGGGAUACCCGCUGAACUUAAGCAUAUCAAUAAGCGUAGGA
Molecule: unclassified non-coding RNA, 329 nt
Filed under: soil metagenome
Description: partial contains 5.8S ribosomal RNA, internal transcribed spacer 2, and large subunit ribosomal RNA
Rfam family: 5.8S ribosomal RNA (bases 1-120)
Source: RNAcentral